UGCCCAUAUAACACUUGAAAACAGGUGCUAAUACCGUAUAACACUAUUUUCCGCGUGGAAGAAAGUUGAAAGGCGCUUUUGCGCCACUGAUGGAUGGACCCGCGGUGCAUUAGCUAGUUGGUGAGGUAACGGCUCACCAAGGCCACGAUGCAUAGCCGACCUGAGAGGGUGAUCGGCCACACUGGGACUGAGACACGGCCCAGACUCCUACGGGAGGCAGCAGUAGGGAAUCUUCGGCAAUGGACGAAAGUCUGACCGAGCAACGCCGCGUGAGUGAAGAAGGUUUUCGGAUCGUAAAACUCUGUUGUUAGAGAAGAACAAGGAUGAGAGUAAAACGUUCAUCCCUUGACGGUAUCUAACCAGAAAGCCACGGCUAACUACGUGCCAGCAGCCGCGGUAAUACGUAGGUGGCAAGCGUUGUCCGGAUUUAUUGGGCGUAAAGCGAGCGCAGGCGGUUUCUUAAGUCUGAUGUGAAAGCCCCCGGCUCAACCGGGGAGGGUCAUUGGAAACUGGGAGACUUGAGUGCAGAAGAGGAGAGUGGAAUUCCAUGUGUAGCGGUGAAAUGCGUAGAUAUAUGGAGGAACACCAGUGGCGAAGGCGGCUCUCUGGUCUGUAACUGACGCUGAGGCUCGAAAGCGUGGGGAGCGAACAGGAUUAGAUACCCUGGUAGUCCACGCCGUAAACGAUGAGUGCUAAGUG
Molecule: ribosomal RNA, 699 nt
Filed under: uncultured bacterium
Lineage: Bacteria
Description: bacterial SSU rRNA
Rfam family: Bacterial small subunit ribosomal RNA
Source: RNAcentral